GAUGAACGCUGGCGGCGUGCCUAAUACAUGCAAGUCGAGCGAACGGACGAGAAGCUUGCUUCUCUGAUGUUAGCGGCGGACGGGCGAGUAACACGUGGAUAACCUACCUAUAAGACUGGGAUAACUUCGGGAAACCGGAGCUAAUACCGGAUAAUAUUUUGAACCGCAUGGUUCAAAAGUGAAAGACGGUCUCGCUGUCACUUAUAGAUGGAUCCGCGCUGCAUUAGCUAGUUGGUAAGGUAACGGCUUACCAAGGCAACGAUGCAUAGCCGACCUGAGAGGGUGAUCGGCCACACUGGAACUGAGACACGGUCCAGACUCCUACGGGAGGCAGCAGUAGGGAAUCUUCCGCAAUGGGCGAAAGCCUGACGGAGCAACGCCGCGUGAGUGAUGAAGGUCUUCGGAUCGUAAAACUCUGUUAUUAGGGAAGAACAUAUGUGUAAGUAACUGUGCACAUCUUGACGGUACCUAAUCAGAAAGCCACGGCUAACUACGU
Molecule: ribosomal RNA, 496 nt
Filed under: uncultured bacterium
Lineage: Bacteria
Description: partial 16S ribosomal RNA
Rfam family: Bacterial small subunit ribosomal RNA
Source: RNAcentral